RNAcentral lists this ribosomal RNA (722 nucleotides) under Psychrobacter sp. P117. RNAcentral describes it as "bacterial SSU rRNA". It matches the Rfam family "Bacterial small subunit ribosomal RNA", at positions 128 to 850 of the family's 1533-position model. The record is from RNAcentral. Lineage: Bacteria; Pseudomonadati; Pseudomonadota; Gammaproteobacteria; Moraxellales; Moraxellaceae.
ACCUAGUAGUGGGGAUAGCUCGGGAAACUCGAAUUAAUACCGCAUACGAACUACGGGAGAAAGGGGGCAGUUUACUGUCUCGCUAUUAGAUGAGCCUAAGUCGGAUUAGCUAGAUGGUGGGGUAAAGGCCUACCAUGGCGACGAUCUGUAGCUGGUCUGAGAGGAUGAUCAGCCACACCGGGACUGAGACACGGCCCGGACWUCUACGGGAGGCAGCAGUGGGGAAUAUUGGACAAUGGGGGAAACCCUGAUCCAGCCAUGCCGCGUGUGUGAAGAAGGCCUUUUGGUUGUAAAGCACUUUAAGCAGUGAAGAAGACUCCGUGGUUAAUACCCACGGACGAUGACAUUAGYUGYWGWAUAAGCACCGGCUAACUCUGUGCCAGCAGCCGCGGUAAUACAGAGGGUGCAAGCGUUAAUCGGAAUUACUGGGCGUAAAGGGAGCGUAGGUGGCUCGAUAAGUCAGAUGUGAAAUCCCCGGGCUCAACCUGGGAACUGCAUCUGAUACUGUUGAGCUAGAGUAUGUGAGAGGAAGGUAGAAUUCCAGGUGUAGCGGUGAAAUGCGUAGAGAUCUGGAGGAAUACCGAUGGCGAAGGCAGCCUUCUGGCAUAAUACUGACACUGAGGCUCGAAAGCGUGGGUAGCAAACAGGAUUAGAUACCCUGGUAGUCCACGCCGUAAACGAUGUCUACUAGUCGUUGGGUCCCUUGAGGACUUAGUGACGUC